Molecule: small RNA, 846 nt
Filed under: Arabidopsis thaliana (thale cress)
Lineage: Eukaryota; Viridiplantae; Streptophyta; Magnoliopsida; Brassicales; Brassicaceae
Description: ATSL227010
Source: RNAcentral
UUUACAUGAUUUGUCUCCUUUCCUAGUAUAGAAUCUAAUCUACAAUCUGAAGAAGAUGGUAUGGCCUAGUAUCCCUUUUUGGUUUUGGCAUACCUGAAGCGUAAUGUCAUGUGGUGUAAUGCUUUACUCUAAUUACCCUUACUCUACUCUUUUGUUUUACAACUUAGAUGACUCUCUAGUUAGAUAAUCUAAUCUUGUAAGUGGUAAAAGUGUGUGUCAAACUUUGAAAGUGGAUGUUCUUCCACUGUUGUAUCGUUUACAACUGCUGUUUUUAAUUAAAAGGGUAAUACUUAUGAGAAAAAAAAAGAAUCUAAUCUACAUAAUCGUGUGUUGCUAGCUCGUCCAUUUACUAAUUGUCUGAUGGGAAUAUAGAUGAAACCGAGGUUAUGGCAUGGGAUUUCACGGGAGACGUAUUCUUCUUUCUUCACAUUAUUUGUCGGAUUGAGCAUGUGUUAUGACAUGAGUAAACGAAUCAGAGCAUCUUCAAGACAAUUAGGGUGUGUCACUUUGAAGAUUUUCCAGACGUUCAAAUAUGAUUUAGACCAUACGACUAAUUUUAUUAAUUUUGGUCAAAACAAAUAGAAAGAUUUAGUGAACCGUGUCUCAUGAAAGAUUUGCGGUUUUAAUAAACGAUCUUUAUAGCGAGCCCAACGCUCUAUGGUGUGGAAGCUCAUAACUUAUGCUUGAGUUUUUCUCAAGUUCUUAAGAAGACCAAUAUUGAUUUAUAUAUCAAAAUGAAUUCUAUAAUAAAUGUUUUAUUCUCUAAAAAGUAUUUUCAUUUUGUUUUUGGUCCAUUCAUUUUUGAAAAAUAAUCGUUUCAAGCAUAUAUACCUUUCUAAUCCCAAC